RNAcentral lists this ribosomal RNA (253 nucleotides) under uncultured bacterium. Its description in RNAcentral is "partial 16S ribosomal RNA". It matches the Rfam family "Bacterial small subunit ribosomal RNA", at positions 524 to 776 of the family's 1533-position model. The record is from RNAcentral.
GACGGAGGAUGCAAGCGUUAUCCGGAAUCAUUGGGCGUAAAGCGCGUGUAGGCGGCUGAGUAAGUCUGCUCUGAAAGCCCGGGGCUCAACCCCGGGAGGCGGGUGGAUACUGCUCAGCUCGAGUCCGGAAGAGGAGUGUGGAAUUCCUGGUGUAGCGGUGAAAUGCGCAGAUAUCAGGAGGAACACCAAUGGCGAAGGCAGCACUCUGGGACGGUACUGACGCUGAGACGCGAAAGCGUGGGGAGCAAACAGG